This 20-nucleotide non-coding RNA is filed under the name Drosophila erecta. RNAcentral also lists the same sequence under 6 other names. Lineage: Eukaryota; Metazoa; Arthropoda; Insecta; Diptera; Drosophilidae. The record is from RNAcentral.
CAUUGCACUUGUCCCGGCCU